GCUGAACUUAGCAUUC
This 16-nucleotide ribosomal RNA is filed under the name Malassezia pachydermatis. RNAcentral describes it as "partial 26S ribosomal RNA". The record is from RNAcentral. Lineage: Eukaryota; Fungi; Basidiomycota; Malasseziomycetes; Malasseziales; Malasseziaceae.